CUGAAACUGAAAAAAUAAAUCUCCAUUAUGGUGACUUAUGAAAGUUACAGUCUAUUCUUAAAGAUAUUCUGGCCACGAACUGGACUAGUAAUGGGUAGCUGGCUGUCAUAUGAGGCAGGAUAACUUCUAGGUAGUUCUGGCUGGUAUUUGUGAUCAGCCAGUGUCCGUGAUUAUUUGAUGGUCUAAUGACCUCUCCUAACCAGGCUUGGGGGUUCUGGUUGACAUUGUUAGGUCUUGUGUUCUCCCAACUGACUUAAUAAAUUGAUUCCUUGUGAAUGUUGAUGCUCAGAUGUGUUUUUGAAAGGGGUUCCCAUGCUGUGAUUAUGUGUUAAAAAGUGAUAAACGUGAAAAUACAACAUGAAAAGACCAUCCUAAGUCAACAGAUGUGUUUUUCAAAAAGACAGAUUUGUUUGUGAGCAGCCAAUAGCAACCUUGCCAACUAUAUUAUUAAAGAGCCAAACGACUGAGUGACUAAACCCUGUUUAUAGACUACGGAUGCCAUAGAGACUGGAGAUGUUGGAAAAGCCUCAGUCGUGGUUCCUAGGGCGUGGUGCUAAGAAACUCUUGGCCAUGGUGCUCUGACAUUGCUGAAAGGCGAAACAGAAUGGGGAGUUGCCCCUCCCCAAUAAUCAACAGC
This 637-nucleotide long non-coding RNA is filed under the name Bos taurus (domestic cattle). RNAcentral describes it as "long non-coding RNA NONBTAT016557". The record is from RNAcentral. Lineage: Eukaryota; Metazoa; Chordata; Mammalia; Artiodactyla; Bovidae.